Molecule: ribosomal RNA, 491 nt
Filed under: uncultured bacterium
Lineage: Bacteria
Description: bacterial SSU rRNA
Rfam family: Bacterial small subunit ribosomal RNA
Source: RNAcentral
AGUAAAUAGAUACCCAGGUAGUCCACGCCGUAAACGAUGUCGACUUGGAGGUUGUGCCCUUGAGGCGUGGCUUCCGGAGCUAAACGCGUUAAGUCGACCGCCUGGGGAGUACGGCCGCAAGGUUAAAACUCAAAUGAAUUGACGGGGGCCCGCACAAGCGGUGGAGCAUGUGGUUUAAUUCGAUGCAACGCGAAGAACCUUACCUACUCUUGACAUCCAGAGAACUUAGCAGAGAUGCUUUGGUGCCUUCGGGAACUCUGAGACAGGUGCUGCAUGGCUGUCGUCAGCUCGUGUUGUGAAAUGUUGGGUUAAGUCCCGCAACGAGCGCAACCCUUAUCCUUUGUUGCCAGCGGUUAGGCCGGGAACUCAAAGGAGACUGCCAGUGAUAAACUGGAGGAAGGUGGGGAUGACGUCAAGUCAUCAUGGCCCUUACGAGUAGGGCUACACACGUGCUACAAUGGCGCAUACAAAGAGAAGCGACCUCGCGAGAG